This 412-nucleotide ribosomal RNA is filed under the name uncultured bacterium. RNAcentral's name for it is "bacterial SSU rRNA". It matches the Rfam family "Bacterial small subunit ribosomal RNA", at positions 505 to 916 of the family's 1533-position model. The record is from RNAcentral.
AUGUCAGCCGCCGCGGUAAAACGUAGGUCCCGAGCGUUACCCGGAAUUACUGGGCGUAAAGGGGGCGUAGGCGGUGAUACAAGUCAUCUGUGAAAACCUAUUGCUCAACGAUAGGCUAGCGGAUGAAACUGAAUUACUUGAGGGCACCAGAGGUAGACGGAAUUACCCGAGUAGAGGUGAAAUCCGCAGAUACGGGUAGGAACGCCGGUGGAGAAGUCGGUCUACUGGGGUGCACCAGACGCUGAGGCCCGAAAGCUAGGGGAGCAAACCGGAUUAGAUACCCGGGUAGUCCUAGCCGUAAACGAUGCUCACUAGGUGUAGGGAGUGACAAACUCUCUGUGCUGAAGCAAACGCGCUAAGUGAGCCGCCUGGGGAGUACGUCCGCAAGGAUGAAACUCAAAGGAAUUGGCGG